This 77-nucleotide transfer RNA is filed under the name Candidatus Omnitrophota bacterium. RNAcentral describes it as "tRNA-Met". It matches the Rfam family "tRNA". Rfam says of the family: Transfer RNA (tRNA) molecules are approximately 80 nucleotides in length. The record is from RNAcentral. Lineage: Bacteria; Pseudomonadati; Candidatus Omnitrophota.
GGCGGCGUAGCUCAGAUGGUUAGAGCACACGGCUCAUACCCGUGUUGUCAAAGGUUCAAUUCCUUUCGCCGCUACCA